RNAcentral lists this ribosomal RNA (272 nucleotides) under uncultured bacterium. RNAcentral's name for it is "partial 16S ribosomal RNA". It matches the Rfam family "Bacterial small subunit ribosomal RNA", at positions 525 to 796 of the family's 1533-position model. The record is from RNAcentral.
ACGGAGGGUGCAAGCGUUAUCCGGAAUCAUUGGGUUUAAAGGGUCCGCAGGCGGUCUUAUAAGUCAGUGGUGAAAGCCUACAGCUCAACUGUAGAACUGCCAUUGAUACUGUAAGACUUGAAUUCGAUCGAAGUGGGCGGAAUAUGACAUGUAGCGGUGAAAUGCUUAGAUAUGUCAUAGAACACCGAUAGCGAAGGCAGCUCACUAGGUCUGGAUUGACGCUCAGGGACGAAAGCGUGGGGAGCAAACAGGAUUAGAAACCCCAGUAGUCC